AAACCUUUCAAAAAUGUUUGGGGCUUACCAAGAAAAGCAGAAUCCCAGAUUUUUAGGAACUUCAGCAGUACUGUGUGUCAGUUUGGAAGAGCGAGAGGGACUAAAAUGUUAUGCUAAUAGACUCAGGGCAAAAGUGGGAUCCAGUACAGACCCAGUCCAACUUCUGUGUCAUAAGGCCCAACAAGACAUGUCAACACCGAGGUUUGGGAAACCACAGUGGGAGAAUUUCCAAGAUUUGGAAGAGGAGAUGUGCCUCAGACGUUCCGAACUUCACUCCCAUGGGCUGAGACUGGUAAUUCCAGGUACAGCACCAGGUCCUUCUGCUCUGGAUGUCACCAAGAUCUCCUGGAGGGCUGCACUCUGGAGGUACCGCAUCCAAAGCUUCUGGCUCUUGGGUCUGAGAUGCAUUUGUUGCAGCCUGACAGGUUCAGAUGUGGCACUGUCUGCAAAACCAACACCACUCAUAGGAGCAGUGCGGAGGUUGGUGUGUCUCGGUGACCAACUGGCAGUCUGAGCUGCACUGAAACUGUUGGCACGCUCCAUUGUGAGAUGGGGAUUGUGCAGACUCCAAAGAGAAAAGCAAACAGGCACCAAUACAAUAACAGCUGCUUCCAACUGUAACACCUGACGCAAAGAUGUUAAACAGACCUAAAAGGAGGGACCAUUAAAUGAAACGUAUUCUUUUAGCUUUCACUUCCUGAAGGGUUGUUGGGUGGUUUUGUUGUUGUUGUUGUUGUUCUGAGUUGUUGUUGUGUUGUUUAAUAACUAGAACCAUUGCAGUGGACUGGAAGUGCACACAAGGAGUGGGCAGAGGGACGGGGAUGUCCCAUUCCUCCUCUUGUAUUGCAGAGUUUGAAAAUUGAAAAAUACUUCAUUAAAAUAGAGACAGUGUGAGAUGCAGUG
This is a long non-coding RNA of Gallus gallus (chicken), 903 nucleotides long. The record is from Ensembl. Lineage: Eukaryota; Metazoa; Chordata; Aves; Galliformes; Phasianidae.